GCUUGUCUCAAAGAUUAAGCCAUGCACGUGUAAGUAUAAAAUAACCUAUACUAUUGAAACUGCGAAUGGCUCAUUAUAUCAGUUAUAGUUUACAUGAUAAUAAUUUUCUACUUGGAUACCCGUAGUAAUUCUAGAGCUAAUACAUGCAUCAAGCCCUGACUUCGGAAGGGGUGUAUUUAUUAGAUGGAAACCAAUGCGGGGCAACCCGGAAUAUGGUGAUUCAUAAUAACUUUCGGAUCGUUUACGAUGCAUCAUUCAAGUUUCUGCCCUAUCAGCUUUGGAUGGUAGGGUAUUGGCCUACCAUGGCUUUAACGGGUAACGGAGAAUUAGGGUUCGAUUCCGGAGAGGGAGCCUGAGAAAUGGCUACCACAUCCAAGGAAGGCAGCAGG
This 389-nucleotide ribosomal RNA is filed under the name Ochromonas tuberculata. RNAcentral describes it as "partial small subunit ribosomal RNA". It matches the Rfam family "Eukaryotic small subunit ribosomal RNA", at positions 30 to 432 of the family's 1831-position model. Lineage: Eukaryota; Chrysophyceae; Chromulinales; Chromulinaceae. The record is from RNAcentral.